AAUCCAUGCAUCGGACAUUUCCAAAUUAAAUCUUUAAAUUGUUCUCAAGCUUUAUAUAAUGUUUUAUCCUCUAAGUGCAAAAAAGACGUGAUGUCAUUUCUAAGCUU
Molecule: small nucleolar RNA, 107 nt
Filed under: Gossypium hirsutum (cotton)
Lineage: Eukaryota; Viridiplantae; Streptophyta; Magnoliopsida; Malvales; Malvaceae
Also listed under: 1 other name
Description: Plant small nucleolar RNA R71
Rfam family: Plant small nucleolar RNA R71
About the family: R71 is a member of the C/D box family of snoRNAs containing the C (UGAUGA) and D (CUGA) box motifs.
Source: Rfam by way of RNAcentral